CUACGGGGGCAGCAGUGGGGAAUAUUGGACAAUGGGCGAAAGCCUGAUCCAGCCAUGCCGCGUGUGUGAAGAAGGCCUUCGGGUUGUAAAGCACUUUCAGUGGGGAAGAAAGCCUUGGGGCUAAUACCCUCGAGGAAGGACAUCACCCACAGAAGAAGCACCGGCUAACUCCGUGCCAGCAGCCGCGGUAAUACGGAGGGUGCGAGCGUUAAUCGGAAUUACUGGGCGUAAAGCGCGCGUAGGCGGUCUGAUAAGCCGGUUGUGAAAGCCCCGGGCUCAACCUGGGAACGGCAUCCGGAACUGUCAGGCUAGAGUGCAGGAGAGGAAGGUAGAAUUCCCGGUGUAGCGGUGAAAUGCGUAGAGAUCGGGAGGAAUACCAGUGGCGAAGGCGGCCUUCUGGACUGACACUGACGCUGAGGUGCGAAAGCGUGGGUAGCAAACAGGAUUAGAUACCCUUGUAGUC
RNAcentral lists this ribosomal RNA (463 nucleotides) under Vreelandella stevensii. RNAcentral describes it as "partial 16S ribosomal RNA". It matches the Rfam family "Bacterial small subunit ribosomal RNA", at positions 339 to 795 of the family's 1533-position model. The record is from RNAcentral. Lineage: Bacteria; Pseudomonadati; Pseudomonadota; Gammaproteobacteria; Oceanospirillales; Halomonadaceae.